Molecule: ribosomal RNA, 627 nt
Filed under: Vibrio sp. grsDA
Lineage: Bacteria; Pseudomonadati; Pseudomonadota; Gammaproteobacteria; Vibrionales; Vibrionaceae
Description: bacterial SSU rRNA
Rfam family: Bacterial small subunit ribosomal RNA
Source: RNAcentral
CCUGAGCCGUGGCUUUCGAAGCUAACGCGUUAAGAAGACCCCCUGGGGAGUACGGUCCCAAGAUUUAAACUCAAGUGAAUUGACGGGGGCCCGCACAAGCGGUGGAGCAUGUGGUUUAAUUCGAUGCAACGCGAAGAACCUUACCUACUCUUGACAUCCAGAGAAGCCAGCGGAGACGCAGGUGUGCCUUCGGGAACUCUGAGACAGGUGCUGCAUGGCUGUCGUCAGCUCGUGUUGUGAAAUGUUGGGUUAAGUCCCGCAACGAGCGCAACCCUUAUCCUUGUUUGCCAGCGAGUAAUGUCGGGAACUCCAGGGAGACUGCCGGUGAUAAACCGGAGGAAGGUGGGGACGACGUCAAGUCAUCAUGGCCCUUACGAGUAGGGCUACACACGUGCUACAAUGGCGCAUACAGAGGGCAGCAAGCUAGCGAUAGUGAGCGAAUCCCAAAAAGUGCGUCGUAGUCCGGAUUGGAGUCUGCAACUCGACUCCAUGAAGUCGGAAUCGCUAGUAAUCGUAGAUCAGAAUGCUACGGUGAAUACGUUCCCGGGCCUUGUACACACCGCCCGUCACACCAUGGGAGUGGGCUGCAAAAGAAGUGGGUAGUUUAACCUUUCGGAGAGGAUGGUA